This 407-nucleotide ribosomal RNA is filed under the name uncultured bacterium. Its description in RNAcentral is "partial 16S ribosomal RNA". It matches the Rfam family "Bacterial small subunit ribosomal RNA", at positions 29 to 526 of the family's 1533-position model. The record is from RNAcentral.
AUUGAACGCUGGCGGCAGGCCUAACACAUGCAAGUCGAGCGGAGCGGCGGACGGGUGAGUAAUGCCUAGGAAUCUGCCUGGUAGUGGGGGAUAACGUCAGGAAACGGGCGCUAAUACCGCAUACUAUCAGAUGAGCCUAGGUCGGAUUAGCUAGUUGGUGGGGUAAAGGCCAACCAAGGCGACGAUCAGUAACGGGUCUGAGAGGAUGAUCAGUCAGACUGGAACGGAGACACGGUCCAGACUCCUACGGGAGGCAGCAGUGGGGAAUAUGGGGUAAUGGGCGAAAGCCUGAUCCAGCCAUGCCGCGGGAGUGAAGAAGGUCUUCGGAUUGUAAAGCACUGUAAGUUGGGAGGCGUUACCAACAGAAUAAGCACCGGCUAACUUCGUGACAGCAGCCGCGGUAAUAC